RNAcentral lists this long non-coding RNA (997 nucleotides) under Struthio camelus australis. Its description in RNAcentral is "lncRNA (ENSSCUG00000004373.1)". Lineage: Eukaryota; Metazoa; Chordata; Aves; Struthioniformes; Struthionidae. The record is from RNAcentral.
CUCUCAGGAGGCAAUUCCUCACCCUUAACUAUAGGCAGCCUAAGGGAUUGACUUAGAAUAAAAUUAAAAUCUACCUCUCUUAAAGCUGUUGUCAGCUGUGCAUUGACUUCCAUGGUUUCGUCUGAACAGUCUUGGGCUUCGUCUGACAUUCUGCACUGUGUGGUUCUGCCCGGAGUUACUCUGAUUUCACUGGAAGAACAAUUGUCACUAAUUUUUGUGACUUGGGAGAUAUGACUGGAUUUGGAAAGCAGAGCCCUACGUUUCCUGCAAUCCACCUAAAGGGAAAAUUGAACUGCAUUGGAGGUGAGAGCAGGAGCUGGAGCAGCUCGGUGACUGUCUGUGGGCCAGCAGCCUCUCAAGCUGCAGCUCCUGUCUCAUGGACAGCAAGCCCCGAGGAGAGCCUCGAGAUGAAGCGCAGGCUGAGGCAACUCGUUCUGCCUGCUGUUCUGCUUUAGGACAUCAUCCUCCUCUCCUUCCCCUGUGCCUCACUCCCACCUUCACAGCCACUUGUUCUGCCUUGUCUCUGUUCCCUCCUUGUGCCAAGUGUCAAAUCAAUUGUCUGUGUGAUUAGUAAGAACAAUUGUCCAGGAUGGACUGACAACCUCUGAAAUGAUUAGAAGGAAGUCGGAAUAUCCCUGGAAGAGGGGAUCAGAAGAGAACUCUGGCGAUAAGGACAUUUUUUUUCAUUGUGAUGCUCUCAGAUGGCCAGUGACUGGGAAUUUCCGCCGUGACCAUCACCACAAGGCUUGCAGCAAGGCAGCCUGGGGUUUUGUUCAAGGCUCAUCUUCUUAUUGCCAGCAGAUAGUUAGCUUCUGCCUGCACAUUGCCAGGCCCAGGUACUAGAUGAGAAUGAAAAGGAGCCUGUCUUUGCUCAGACCGUCUUGGCUUUGUCCCGAGCCCACACUGCUAUAGGUGCUCAUAGGUUUUCUUCCUGUGCUCUGAUAGGGUAAUGAAAGUAUGGAAUAAAUAUGGACACGGUUCAUUUUCUGUAACUGUC